Homo sapiens (human) is the source of this 2259-nucleotide long non-coding RNA. NCBI's taxonomy places the organism in Eukaryota, Metazoa, Chordata, Mammalia, Primates, Hominidae. The record is from Ensembl.
UCUCUUCACCCAGGGACACUGAGUGCCUGUUCCUCUUAGCGUCACAUAACUCGGGAUGUUUGGGAACCGCAGCCCCUCCGGCUGAAGUGUCCACCUGUGCUGACUGAUUCUGGCACUUGAAGCAUUGCCGGGCACGCUUUCUCUGGCUGCUGCAGGUGCUCCAGCUUUGUCCUCCCUCUCGGGGCCGCCAGGACCCAGGGGAAGGCUCUGGAGUGAGUCAUUCCCCCCAGGGUUCUCCCAUUCUGCUGCCUCGGGGCCCCGGCACUGGGUGUGGACCGCCCGGGCAUAGCAUGACCCUGAGUGAGAUGAGGAGACUCUGCAGCAGCUGACCACCGGAGGCGGCUGCAGACCACACGCCGCAACUACACAACCCAUCUUUGUUUCUAGCAUAGUCCACACCUGCCUUAGUCCACCUGGGCUGCCGCAACAAAUGACCCUAAACUGGGUGGCUCAACAGCAAGCAUUGAUUGAUCAGUGCUCUGAAGGCUGGACGCGAAGGAGCCGGCAGAUUCAGUGUCUGUGAAGGUCACUCCCUGGUUGUAGCCUGCUGUCCCUUCAUCGUAUCCUCACAUGGCAGACAGCAGAGAGAAAAAGGAGAAAACACGCUGUCUUGAAGACCAGGACCUCUAAACCUGCAGAGCCCAGCAGGAAAGGGAAGCACGUCCUCCGUGAGUGAUAGAAUCAGGCAUGAGUCACGGGGCCAUCACCUGAAGCUCCCUCAUGGUGAAGCUGUCCCUUGCCACUGCCUUCCAAGGCAUCGUGCAGCUGCCAUCCAUUUUGUGCACACACCGUAUAUCAAACCAACCUGCCCGUGAAGCAAAGGUAAGACUCACUGCACAAUGUUGAAUUAACUCAUGAGAGGCGACAUCCUUCUCUUAUUCCUGAUCAUAGGUGUAAAGCACUUGGAUUCUCACCAACUUGUUAUCACUCAUCAUAAAAGCAAUCCUUCUCUGCUUUCCUGAUGUCUGCCUUUCUCUGCUUGUCUGACACAAGUUUCCCUGCGGUUCAUACAGAUUUGAUGCCUCUAUUCAUCUUCCAGCUCCUUCUGCGGCUUAGCUUUCCUCCUUCCUUCCCUCACUGUAAUUGGAUCGCUCAUCUCCGGCAGGAAAUCUUGCCAAACUGGAGUUUGCUCCCGCUCACCUAGGGAAAAUCACCUGGUAAGGUCAUCAGGAUGCUGCAUCUGGCCAUUGUCUCCUCAGCUCCCUGCUAGCUGCUGACUAAACUCUAAUUUGGUGUUGAGAUUGCUUUUGCACUGGGCUUCUUUCACUAAGUGUGUUUAAUCUGCUGUGAAAUUGUUUUCAUGGUUGCAGUCAGUGUUAUAGUAACAGUUUAACAAUGUGCAUUUCUUUGCUUUGCAAAGGGUCUUGGCAGUCUCUAUGCAAAUUAGCACUUGUCUAAUGUCAUUAUGCAUGGUUCCUGGGAGAGCAGCAACUGGAAUCCUGGAUAAACUUGUCCACUCAGUCUGGGGGAUAAGGAGACUGGGAUAAAGAAGCAGAAACUCUCUCACGGAUGGAUGGACCAGGCCUUACCUUGACGUAUGUGAUCUUCCCUUUAACCUGUGACCUUGUGUUUGGGACGGUAGUAAGAAGAUUUCAUUAAACCAGCUGAACUUUUAUCAUCUGAGGCCGAAUGUCAAACUCUACCCUGAAAUGCAACAUAGUGGGCUUAGACUGGUGUAAGAAAGUAUGUUUUGAUUCGGGUUAGUUGUGGAAGCUAUAUUUCAGGUGGAAGCAUAGGGUACAUUGGGGUUAGAGACUUAGCCUAUGAUAUUGUAAGAAAGGGGGAGUGAGGGGCUAUAUUGUCCAACAAUUGUAAUGUAUAUUUAGUUCUCCUAAUUCUGGCAACAAUUCUGCAAAGUUAGAUGCAGAGAUUGCAUUCCCUUGGAAGCUUACUCUGAGAUGGAGUUCGGAAAGCAGAAUGCUUAUUGUGAAGAUAAAUAAUUCAAAUUAAAGCUGUUGGAACUUUAAAGUAUUUUGAGCCUCUAAGGGAAUGUGAAUUGUGAGACCUGAGUCAUGUAGCAUGCAGCUACAGCUUCUGUUCCUUCCUGUAAAUGAUAAGAAAAGGCCUUGUGGCACCAGAGAGCAGACCCCCUCAGAUUGUCACCCCUCCUCAGAAAGCGCUGGAGCACUGUUCCUUAGAAUGUAGCAAACUGUGAGCAAUCACAUCCCUGCAACUGUGUACUGGCCAUGUAUGGAAAUGUGUGAUCCUGCCAAACCUCUUUGUUUCUGCCUAUAUUAAUAAAACCUUAAUUUCCUCACU